GCACACUUCAUGGAUCUACAGACACAUUCAUAAGGAAAAAAGUUAAACAAGAGACCAAAGUGUCAAAAUAUUGACCAGGCUACAAAAAGGUGGAAUGACAAGAACUAGACAAGAGCAUGAGGGAAGCUGCCUAACUUGGAUGACAAAUUUAUCUAGAACUGUAGAAGCUACACACACCACCUAAAAAAUACAGAUCAGUUUCACAACUUAGAAAAACAUGGCUCACCCUCUUUAGGUGUGAGGCAUGAUUAUGAAUUGAAGACACUUCCUGCUGCUGAGAACAAAACAAAGCUAACUCUGAAAUCUUCCCAGCGCUCAACAGGAGCACAGCAAGGGCAGUUCCAGGACCCAGCAGGGAGCAGAAUUCACAGCUAUGCUUUCCCAGCUGUCUGCAGGCCUCAGGAGGGAUGAUUAUAAUCCUACAUCCUCCUGAAUCUCAUCCAGCUAGUGCACAAGAGAUGGCAGCCCAGGAGUCCCAGUUAUUUACCUCCAUACAUGAAGACUGUAAUAAGGUGUAAAGUCUAAAUAAGUCCAACUAUUCUUAUAGCACAUUAAACACACCAUAAGUGAAGACAAACCUCUCUUUGGCUCAUAAUAUUUUUCCCAUCAGCUUUUAGAAGUCGCCUGUUGGAAAUCAGCUGAAAAAGAUGGAUUUACAGACUUCUGAGUAAAUAACUGCUGUCCUACCUU
Zonotrichia leucophrys gambelii is the source of this 690-nucleotide long non-coding RNA. RefSeq lists it as uncharacterized. The record is from RefSeq and is a predicted model, not a curated record. NCBI's taxonomy places the organism in Eukaryota, Metazoa, Chordata, Aves, Passeriformes, Passerellidae. The transcript is spliced from 3 exons.